Cyprinus carpio carpio is the source of this 4638-nucleotide long non-coding RNA. The record is from Ensembl. Lineage: Eukaryota; Metazoa; Chordata; Actinopteri; Cypriniformes; Cyprinidae.
AUGGACUCCGAGCUCUUCUUGAAAUGGCUCCACCAUUUCAUCAGAUAUGCUCCUGAGGAGAGACCACCAAUUUUAAUCAUAGACCAACACGAGACACAUGUAUCUAAAGAUGUAAUCAUGUUCUGCAGAGAAAAGAAGAUUGAAAUUCUCUGCCUACCUGCCCACACUACACACAUAAUUCAGCCCCUCGAUAUUGCGGUCUUCAACCCACUGAAGACUGCUUUCUUCACCAUGGCUUCCAGGAUGGGUCUGGUGCGAAGGGACAUUGUUGUGGGGAAGAAGCAGUUUUCAGCUCUCCUCAAACAUGUCUAUCCCACUGCUGUCACAGCCCAAAACAUCAAGGCCGGGUUUCGCAAGGCUGGCCUUUUUUUCUCUGUCCAGGGCUGCUGUGGACACAACCCAGGUGGUGAGAGUGCUCCCAUCUGUAGAUGGAAGUGACGCCACACCAUCCAGCCCUGCCGCCACACCAUCUAUCGUUCCCAUCACACCAUCCAUUACGUCACCUGCUGACACAUCAGUCAUCACUCAAACACCUUGCCCCACCUGUAACAUUAAUAAAGUGGCUCACAAAAAUUACCUGGUGGCAGCAGGUGUAAUUCCAGAGAGUCUGGCUAAUGUCCUCAUGAGUCCAGCCCUGGAGAGGAAGGAGAAGGUUAGACAAUUUGGUACUUCUCCACGGUUUAAUGACGUCAUAAUUGACCUGUGCUGGCAAAAUGAGUGUUAAUUCCCUAUUUUGAGCUACAAGCAUAAAAAAAAAUAAUAUAUAUAUAUAUAUAUAUAUAUACCUGCCAAAAUGCUCCAGGUAGUAAUUAGACUAAAAUUAUCUUGAUUUGCAUUACAGUAUAGGACGUCUGUAUCAUGUGUUAAUCUAACAAUAAAAGAAAAGAGGGAAUCACUCGUUGCACUUCAUUGAACUGCUUUUGUAGUUUUAAUAAUCAAUUUAUUUGUAUUGAACACACUUAGGUUAUUUUUACAUUUGAUUAUUCUUUUUUCGUACGUGAAUGCUUUAGAUAUAAAAUGAUAAAGGUAAUGCAUUAUUUGUUUCUUUCUAGGCUAUUUGUUCUACUGUUUUUUUUUUUUUGCAUCUGUUCUUAUUUAUAAUAUCAAAAAUAAAAUUAAAAAAAUUGUGAUUAUUAAUAUAGUAACUAACAAUAAGAAAAGACUGAGGACUUCACUCUAUAGACUUUAAAUGGAUGUGGCUCAGUCAUUUUUUGUCCGAUUCCAACAAAUCAUAAAUCAUUUUGAAGGUCUUUUAAUGGAAAAAGUCUUUUUUUUUUUAAUUGCUCAUUGUGACUUGUUUUGUCAGCACAGGUCACAUUAUUCUCAGGAGGAAACACAUGUGGAGGCGGUAAAUGACAAUGCAUGCGCAAAUUUUGCUAUAAGUUUGAUCGCAACCAAGCGGCAACCUCCCGCUCUCUCUCGUGAAGCCCAUACGGAAGUGACUUAAACUGUAAUUCAACUGGCCGCAAGAGGCUGGCUGCAAAAGGGAGUCAAUCCCAUAGACCCCCAUUACAUUAGAGCUUAAAGGGUCAUGAAACCCCCUGUUUCAGCACGGGUUAGUACACACCACAGUUUUAAAAAAGGCUAAAAAAGUGGGCGUGGUGCGCAGCGGCCGAGGAGGAGGAGGAAGAAGAAGAAGAAGAGGGGAGACAGACAGUUUCAUUUCACUCCUAUCAAGUUAAAAACACAAAUAAAUGCACAGCCAUUUGCACUCUGCAUCGAAAACAUAUAUAUGAACGCACUGUUGCACCUCUGAGAACUUUUAAGGCUUAUUCUGUGGCGUUUAUAUAAGUCUUUUGACAGAAAAACGGUUAUGCUCACCAAGUAAAUGAAUCGUGUUUGUGCCGAACUCUUAUUACAGAACAAAAACAAACACUCUUCUUCAGUCCAUGAACGUUUCUCUCAGUUGAUGUGUGCGAUAUCAUGUCACAGUAUGAAACGUCUGUCAUAGCGAAUCAACACAUGCGGUUGUGAAUAAUUAAGCGAAGCCUCUUCUCAUAGGAUAAGAAAAUGCAGUCUCAUGAAUAAUUUAAUAGACACCGACGCGUCAUCUAUGUACUAUAGUCCACUGCCACGUCACAGAUUGUGACGUCAACACAAUGUAGAUUUUAAACCCGGAAGAUGAAAAUAGCGCAAAAAAGCUUAAAAUUAACCAGUUUUCUCCAACAGUUAAAAUUAUCGGAUGCCAACAUUGUCUUCUAUGAGGUGCAACAUAAACACCUCUGCUAAAAUCUCAGAAAAAGUAGUCUGGGGUUUCAUGACCCUUUAAAGUUCUGCAUAAUUAAAGGCGUGGCCACUUGAGUGACAGGUGGAUUGCCGCUGCUGUCACCACCAUCAAGCUAUAGGUGGCUAUGGCUUCAGUAACCAGCUCCCACCUUUUUGCCAAUUUUCGAUUAUCCGGGAGUGACGCACUGCCAAGUUGGCGACGGCCGGCUCCGCCUACUUUUUGGCUUCAAAAACGUUCUUUGGAAACCUAUGGGUGACGUCACCGACACUACGUCCAUGUUUUUAUACAGUCUAUGAUCGCAACAUAUAAUCAUUGCUGUUAAUAGUGUUCACCGUCUGUUCAAUUACAUGACAUUAACUAACUGCUUGAUUUUUCCAUACAUUUUUGCCAUAUGGACAUCAACUUGAGACCGUCACCACUGAUAAGCUAUUACUAAAUAUAAUGUAGAAACUUAAAUUUUAGUAAAGCUGCUUUGCACGGAUUAUCAUUGUGAAAAGUGUUAUACAAAUAAACUUGAAUUGAAUAUUUCUUUCUUUUAGCCUGUUCUUCCUAAAAGCCUCCCCAUGGAGAUUGGCCUGUCAUUCAUAACCAUAGGGUCCUAGUGUUCCUCAGAUCAUUAAACUGCUGGACUGGGAGGACAACACAGACCAUUGCAUCAUGGUCAUGGAGCGGCACAAGCCCUGCAUGGACUUGAAUAGUUGCAUGACACUCCAAAGAGGAUUUGCAGCCAGCGAGGUACUGAGACAUCAAACCGAAGAACCUGCUGGUGAACCAGAACACCCUGGAGGUCAAACUGAUCGACUCUGAAUGCAGAGAGUUCAUUAAAAAGUUAAUUAUCUCACAGAAACACAUCCUAUUAUGUAAUCAACAUGUGAAUGUGUGUCAGUCAUCUUUACUGCAAGCACAAGAGCGUGCUGUCUACCAGAAGUCAUGCAAAGCUAAUGACCAUGUGGUAAUAGGGCAUACUCCUGUUUGAAAUGGUGUGUGGAUAUUAUCCCACAGACAACGACCUACACGAUCAAUGAGAGCAACCUGCACCAGACCUAGCGUGUCACAAUGUGAGAUCUUCAAAGAACAAAAAUGGACAAUUUGAAUUCUAAAUCACACACAAAAAAAACACUAAGCAUUAAAGGUGCAGUGUGUAAAUUUUAUUGCCAUCUAGCUGUGAGGUUGCGAAUUGCAACCAAUGGCUCAGUCCCCCACAAGUUUUGUAUUUAAUUUGGAAACCAAGGUCCUAGAGCAGGGAUAGGCAACUUCGGUCCUGGAGGGCCACUGUCCUGCAGAGUUUAGCUCCAACCCUAAUUAAACACACCUGAACAAGGCAAUCAGUGUUUUCGGGAUUACUAGAUAGAUACAGGCAGGUGAGUUUUUAUGAGGGCUGAAGCUAAACUCUGCAGGAUAGUGGCCCUCCACGACCGGAGUUGCCUAUCCCUGUCCUAGAGUCUGGAGGAAGGGUGGAGAAGCUCAUAGCCCAAGUUGCUUGAAGUCCAGUGUUAAGUUUUGGGGUGCAAUGUCAUCUGCUGGUGUUGGUCCAUUAUGCUUUUUGAAAACCAAAGUCACUGCACCCUUUUACCAAGAAAUUUUGGAGCACUUCAUGCUUCCUUCUGCUGACCAGCUUUUUGAAGAUGCUGAUUUAAUUUUCCAGCAGGAUUUGGCACCUGCCCACACUGACAAAAGCACCAAAAGUGGGUUAAAUGACCAUGGUGUUGGUGUGCUUGACUGGCCAGCAAACUCACCAGACCUGGGGCCUCAUUUAUAAAGCGUGCGUACGCACAAAACGGGGCUGGAAACGUACGUACGCCAGUUCCCACGCAAAGGUUGUGAUCUAUAAAAAACAAACUUGACGGGAGAAUGUGCGCACCUUUAAGCAAACUUUGAGCCGUGCGUACGCACAUUCUGGAGACAAAGGGAAUUGGCGACACCGAUGGUGAGGUCGUGAACUGAAGUUAGAUUGUAGAAAAUAAAUGUGAGAAGAACGAUUAUAAGAAUGAAUGACAUUUAAUUUUCACUCCAUUUCAUACGUUAUAUCCACAUUAUCAUGAAGAUUAAAUCCAACAGUGUUAUUUGUGCCGAUUGUUUUAGGCUAUAUACAUCUAGUAAAAUCCAAACGUAAUUCAAAAUGUAUUAAAAGUAAAAUAAAAUAAUAAUCAGCGCUGCCUUACAGUCACAUUGUCCACAACGGGAGCACAGGAGGACAUGGCGCGAUACAUGUGAUAGCCUACAGAAUAGCAUGAAAUACCCUUUUAUUAGAGAACUGCAGAACACAGUGUAAAAAGGAAAUAUUUUCCUUAAUGUACAUAGCCUAUAUCAUAAAAUGUCAAAGUCUGCAAAUACAGUCAUGAAGCACAAUCGCUACUCAUCAUCGGUCCUAACUAUUACGGUGUUCAUUACAAAACCGUCAAGAAGCAUGU